Hordeum vulgare subsp. vulgare (domesticated barley) is the source of this 3196-nucleotide long non-coding RNA. RefSeq lists it as uncharacterized. The transcript is spliced from 3 exons. NCBI's taxonomy places the organism in Eukaryota, Viridiplantae, Streptophyta, Magnoliopsida, Poales, Poaceae. The record is from RefSeq and is a predicted model, not a curated record.
UCCCGCACUCUCCUCCCCUCCUGCCCACUCUUCUCUUCCCUACCCCCUCCCACUAAAACCCUAGCUGCCCCACCCACGUCGCCGCCUGCCGUCGCCCCUCAGACCUCGCUCCCAUCCCCCCUCGUCAUCCUGGAGCCCCAACAGGUCCAGCGGCACUGGUCCCUCGAGCGUCGGCGAAGAAGUUGAGAGGGAAAGAGAGAAGGAAGGAGAGGAGGGAGAAAGAGAGGAGAGGGAGGUGCUCUGGUCCCUCGAGGCGCCGCCCCCAGGAGCUCUCACCGCCUCCCAAGUACCUCCUUUCCUUCAGUGCCCCGAGUAAUUUCUUGAUCUCAUCUAUCCAUGCAGAUGCUGAGCAGAGGGCCAAACCUCAAGUGUGGAGAUGGUUGUCAUUUAUCAGGGAUGAUAAUGUAUUUGUUUCCAGGAUGCAGCAACAAGCACAAAUAACUUUGCUCGCAUGCUUCCGUCUUUUUGUUAUUCUCUCUACAUUUGUUCCAGAAAAAAAAUCCCUCUAUACACGGCUUAAGGUGGAGGCUCACACGCUCAGUGCAGGUUGUUAAAGCCCUCUUUUAUCGUUGUGCUACUGGUCAGCUUGCAGGGUGCAGCAGCCUGGAGAGAAGGCCGAUGGCACACCUAUGAAGCAACAAUAAACACGUCUGAUGCCAACAUGCCAAGAUGAGCUUCUCGCCCAAUCCCUCUUUAUGUAUAUAUGCAAGCUUGUGUGAUGUUCUCUUUCUGUAUAUAUGCAAGCUUGUGUGAUGUGCUCUGCUUCCCCCUUACUUUUCCAGUUAAUGGAUCUCUCACUGAACAGAGCAUGUUCUCUAGGUUGGUGGCAUAAAUAAUAUAGCUAAAUUAUCUUCAUCAUAAUAAUAUAAUUGUUGGCGCUGUCAAUGAUCCAUUAGACAACCCUAUGGAAUAUUUUGAUAUUUUUGUGCACCAAGGGAUUUUCAGGGAUUUCAAGGAAUAUAAUGAUUUGUGGUUGUUUUCUUAGUUAGCAGCUUUAGUUCUUGAUUAUGUUUUUCCGAACCCUGUUAAGAUGGAAAUAUACGUUGAUGCUGCCGUUGGCUCAUACCGUUGCUUCCUAAGUCAUCCAAGGUGAUAACUGAAUUCUUCGAUACCACAUAGCAGAUUCAGUAGUCCUCCUCUCCCCCUCUCACCCAUCUCUUUUGAUUUAGCCUCCUCAAAUCCUUCUCUUGCUAUGUGAAAUUCUAUUUUAUCCAUGCCUAGAUGGCGUUUGACAGAACUCCUAUCGGGAUUUUGAUAGUAGAAUGUGGUCUCGGGCUGGUGUUGCGGUUCAUCCAGCUUCAAGGGAAAAUAUCGUGCAUAAAUGUGUACUAUUCAUUAUUUAGGUCAAAUGAGUGAUACUAUCAUUUUUGUAUCGGCUUCCAGCGAGGAUGAUUUUUAUGUGCACGGUCACGAUGUCGACUCAUGUCUAAUCCUGAAGGUGAAUCUAUUUGUUUGCAAUUUAGAUGUUAUAUCAGUAUGCAAGUGAAUUUGUGGCUAAUACCAGAAUUGGUAUUUUUUCAUGUUUGUCUUCCUUUUAACCUGAUGCAUGUGCAUAAUGCUCGUUGAUGACUAUUCCUUGUUAUUUUAUCACAUGUACACAACUCUGUAGCAUGCAGAUGCUUUCUUAUUUGGCCUCCUUGGUUAGUGUUUGAUGAUUCGUUUGUCAGCAGACCCCACCCACCAGGAAGCAACCACAAGCGGCUCGGCUACUCCGGCAUCAUGGGCACCACUUUCCCCCCAAGACCAUAGGCCCGACGACGAAUCUGGCUGGCAAGCAUGGGUGCGGACCUCCAGCAACCAGUGAUUCUACCUUUCAAUUGCAUUCUUAUUUUUAUUUUCUCUGUAUAUAUACACAGUUUUCAAAUUCUAUUUGUUUGCCACUGAAGCUUAUGUUUUCCUGUGUCAGAAUUGAGUGUGUAGGAAACUUAUGGCUUAUGGCUCUCCUUGAUGACCAUCACAACAUAACCACAACCAUCUACAUGAUACCUACCGGCUAUAUACUAUGCUCAUUGUAAAUAAUCUAUUAUCAACUUACAACAAUAUAUAGCAACGCUGAAUUUCUACUUAUGCUCAUUGUAAAUUUCUUAGAACAACAGCACUGAGUUCUCUUAUAACACUAUGUCAGCACUAAAAUUAUAUUUACUUAUGGUAUGCAGUUAUCAAGUAAUGCCAUUAUUUCCUUUUAAUGAAUCAUGAUGCCAUGUAGUCAGAUAAAAGUAUAUCUAUUAGACUAUCACAUAGACUGUCACAUACACAUGCUUAUAAUGCUUGGCUUGCUAAUGUUUUUUGCGCCAUGGGCGCAACGGGUCAUCUAGUAUCGGAACUGGUCUCCACUUGUGGCUCGUCGACAGUAGCCUCUCACACAAAUUUGAGGCAUCGUUCUCUUCUUCGGAUACAUAUGGUGACAUUGCCCAAGCGCAGUAGAUGCUACAUAUGAAUUUUCCUCGAUAGAACAUGGAACACAAGUAUAGGUACAUGACCUAGCUGAUCGAUCUCGUUGGCCGGUCGGAUGCAGCUGGAUCAUUUUGAUUUGCCGGUUGCAAUAUGGACGAAACACUAAUGCACAUGUAUGCAAGAGACACAUAAUUGGUCUGUUUGAUUGCCUGCAUUAGGUUGAACCACGCCCUCAUGGGAAGAAAACAGAUUCAUUGGAAGAAAACAGAUUCAUUGGUUGCCAGCAUACACUACUCGACAUCCAUAGCAUGAAAUUUAAAGCACCUCCGGGCCUCUCUCGCGAGCUAUGCUCGAAUCAGCAUUUUCUCGCGAGUCAGGCCCGUGUGAUGCAUGUGGGCGGCGAGGGCUGCAUGCGAGAAGUCAUCCUUGAGAAGUCGCGUUGCUUCCCGAGAAGUCAUCCUUGAGAAGUCGCGUUGCUUCCCGAAGAGCUGACAGUUAUUGCCCUCACCUUUCAUCACGUCUCUCUCCCAUCUCCCCUCUCCCACUCUCAGCAAUGCAAGUAGCAGCAUGCAGUAGAUCAGAGAACAACAAGUCGACCUUUCGGCGCCUUCAUCGACAUCCAAAGUAGCACUUCGAUAAUGACAUGCCCUGUCGGAGGGAGGACAAUCACGGAGGGCCUCUACAUCAACCUUGCUGCUCCCAUGAUGUCGUGUGAUUAUUCUACCAUACACCUACGGGUCCAUAGCUAGUAUCUAGGUGGUUAUCUCUCUCUCUAUGAUGUUCAAUACAAAGUUCACCACAA